This 540-nucleotide ribosomal RNA is filed under the name Thalassiosira rotula. Its description in RNAcentral is "partial Eukaryotic small subunit ribosomal RNA". It matches the Rfam family "Eukaryotic small subunit ribosomal RNA", at positions 604 to 1152 of the family's 1831-position model. Lineage: Eukaryota; Bacillariophyta; Thalassiosirophyceae; Thalassiosirales; Thalassiosiraceae. The record is from RNAcentral.
UUAAAGUUGUUGCAGUUAAAAAGCUCGUAGUUGAAACUUGGGCCUGGCUGGCGGGUCCGCCUCACCGCGUGCACUCGUCCGGCCGGGCCUUCCUUCUGAAGAACCUCAUGCCCUUCACUGGGCGUGCUGGGGAAUCAGGACUUUUACUUUGAAAAAAUUAGAGUGUUCAAAGCAGGCCUUUGCCCGAAUACAUUAGCAUGGAAUAAUAGAAUAGGACGCGCGUUCCCAUUUUGUUGGUUUCUGAGACCGCCGUAAUGAUUAAUAGGGAUAGUUGGGGGCAUUAGUAUUCAGUCGCUAGAGGUGAAAUUCUUGGAUUGACUGAAGACUAACUACUGCGAAAGCAUUUGCCAAGGAUGUUUUCAUUAAUCAAGAACGAAGGUUAGGGUAUCGAAAACGAUUAGAUACCGUUGUAGUCUCUUCUGUAAACUAUGCCAAUUGGGGAUCGGUACAGGAUUUUUAAUGACUGUAUCGGCACCCGAAGAGAAAUCUUUAAAUGAGGUUCGGGGGGGAGUAUGGUCGCAAGGCUGAAACUUAAAGGAA